GCUACGGGUGGCAGCAGGGGGGAAUAUUGCGCAAUGGGCGAAAGCCUGACGCAGCGACGCCGCGUGAGGGAUGAAGGUCUUCGGAUCGGAAACCUCUGUCAGCAGGGAAGAACGGUCACGGUGCUAAGCAGCAGUGAAUAGACGGUACCAGCAAAGGAAGCACCGGCUAACUCCGUGCCAGCAGGCGCGGUAAUACGGAGGGUGCGAGCGUGAAUCGGAAUGACUGGGCGGAAAGCGCGCGUAGGCGGUAUGUCACGUCACGGGUGAAAUCCCCGCGCUCAACGUGGGAACUGCCUUUGAUACUGGCAGCCUGGCGUGUGUGAUAUGCUCGUGGCAUUCCAGGUGUAGCUGUGACAUCCGUAGAUCUCUGGAGGAACUUCAGUGGCGAAGGCGACUCUCUGGCCCAUAACUGACGCUGAGGCUCGAAAGCGUGGGUAGCAAACAGGAUUAGAUCCCCCUGUAGUC
RNAcentral lists this ribosomal RNA (465 nucleotides) under uncultured bacterium. RNAcentral describes it as "partial 16S ribosomal RNA". It matches the Rfam family "Bacterial small subunit ribosomal RNA", at positions 338 to 795 of the family's 1533-position model. The record is from RNAcentral.